This 358-nucleotide ribosomal RNA is filed under the name uncultured bacterium. Its description in RNAcentral is "bacterial SSU rRNA". It matches the Rfam family "Bacterial small subunit ribosomal RNA", at positions 29 to 412 of the family's 1533-position model. The record is from RNAcentral.
AGCGAACGCUGGCGGCAGGCUUAACACAUGCAAGUCGAGCGGGCGUAGCAAUACGUCAGCGGCAGACGGGUGAGUAACGCGUGGGAACGUACCUUUUGGUUCGGAACAACACAGGGAAACUUGUGCUAAUACCGGAUAAGCCCUUACGGGGAAAGAUUUAUCGCCGAAAGAUCGGCCCGCGUCUGAUUAGCUAGUUGGUGAGGUAACGGCUCACCAAGGCGACGAUCAGUAGCUGGUCUGAGAGGAUGAUCAGCCACAUUGGGACUGAGACACGGCCCAAACUCCUACGGGAGGCAGCAGUGGGGAAUAUUGGACAAUGGGCGCAAGCCUGAUCCAGCCAUGCCGCGUGAGUGAUGAA